AUUCAGCUGACGAGUCCCGAAUAGGACGAAACGCGCGUCAAACUGGAU
Molecule: non-coding RNA, 48 nt
Filed under: Schistosoma mansoni
Lineage: Eukaryota; Metazoa; Platyhelminthes; Trematoda; Strigeidida; Schistosomatidae
Also listed under: 1 other name
Source: RNAcentral